AGAGUUUGAUCCUGGCUCAGGUUGAACGCUGGCGGCAUGCUUUACACAUGCAAGUCGAACGGUAACAGGCCUUCGGGCGCUGACGAGUGGCGAACGGGUGAGUAACGCAUCGGAACGUGCCCAGUCGUGGGGGAUAACGCAGCGAAAGCUGUGCUAAUACCGCAUACGAUCUGCGGAUGAAAGCGGGGGACCUUAGGGCCUCGCGCGAUUGGAGCGGCCGAUGUCAGAUUAGGUAGUUGGUGGGGUAAAGGCCCACCAAGCCAACGAUCUGUAGCUGGCCUGAGAGGACGACCAGCCACACUGGGACUGAGACACGGCCCAGACUCCUACGGGAGGCAGCAGUGGGGAAUUUUGGACAAUGGGCGCAAGCCUGAUCCAGCAAUGCCGCGUGCAGGAAGAAGGCCUUCGGGUUGUAAACUGCUUUUGUACGGAACGAAAAAGUCCGGGUUAAUACCCUGGGCCCAUGA
This 467-nucleotide ribosomal RNA is filed under the name uncultured Macromonas sp. RNAcentral describes it as "bacterial SSU rRNA". It matches the Rfam family "Bacterial small subunit ribosomal RNA", at positions 8 to 472 of the family's 1533-position model. Lineage: Bacteria; Pseudomonadati; Pseudomonadota; Betaproteobacteria; Burkholderiales; Comamonadaceae. The record is from RNAcentral.